Molecule: long non-coding RNA, 175 nt
Organism: Cebus imitator (Panamanian white-faced capuchin)
Lineage: Eukaryota; Metazoa; Chordata; Mammalia; Primates; Cebidae
Exons: 3
Source: RefSeq, a predicted model, not a curated record
AAUAAUGCAUUCUCUCAUCUCAUUUUUUAAAAGAUAUGCAGUAUCUCAUUGUACCGAUCUCUUUAAUCAACUGUUUCCUUACAUUUAGCUUGAUUUAAAAACAACUCAUAAUCAUUUGCUGCUAUGAGACUCUUUGUAGCUAUAUUUUGUUCAAACCUCUUUGUAGCUCUAUUUU